Bos taurus (domestic cattle) is the source of this 1272-nucleotide long non-coding RNA. The record is from Ensembl. Lineage: Eukaryota; Metazoa; Chordata; Mammalia; Artiodactyla; Bovidae.
GGCAGACUUGGGAGAGCAUCUGAUGGUUCCAAGGGAAAUAUUUGUUGGGGAAAGAAAGGGGCACACAGGCCGGGUGACUUUCAGUCACAUGUGACCACAUGACGCCCACACAAACGGGUCUCUUGAGGCCAGAGCAGACAGGUUACCCCUGUUACCUCCAUCCUGGGUACAGCACCCCGUGGGGGUGGGAUCAAGCUGGGAGUGGGUGGGCAGAGCCCUCUCAGGUCAGCAGCCUCUUGGAUGAGGCCACAGAGCUGUAGUCUGUUAACAAGGCCAGAAGAUGCCUAUUUAUUCAUCCUACUUACUGACCCCGAAGCACUACCACUGACACCAUUACCACCAUGGACGGAGGUUUCAGCCUGCUCAGAUGACCAGAGCACUGGGGUGGCAGUCGGGAACACUUUUUACACUGAAACUGAUUUCUGGAGUAAGCAGUACAUACUCAUGCAAAAUUGUAAAGAUGCAAAAAGGAUGCAGAGAAAAGGAACUAAGAUCCCACAUGCUGUGGAGCCCCUAAGCCCUAGCAUCCCAACUAAAACUUGACACAGUCAAAUAAAUAAAUAUAUUAAAAAAAAAAAAAGAUUUAGAGGGCCCUCUCAGUGAAGACAUGUCUCAAAACUCCCUGUUCAAAACCAGGAGGUCAGGAAGCAAAGGAGUCAGGGCGGAAAUGGCCUGAAUUUCAGGGACCCGGCAAGUGAAGAGUUUGGGCUUUGGAAUCAAACAGACAAGAGCACAAACCACAGCUCCACAACAUGUGACCUUGGACAAGCACCUUUACCUCUUCUCUACAUGUUGGUUUCCCUCCUUGUAAUAUGGGAUGGAGACUAGUAACUGCCUCCUCUGCUGGUAAAUAAGAUACAAUCCAAAGGCACAGAGCACCUGGCCCAGAGAGAUUGCUUCGUAUCUGCUAUCCAGCAUGGCCAUCUGAUGGGGCCUGGACCUGGCUAAUUGUGGGCCCUGCUCCUCCCUCUGCCUGAGCCCCCAGCAGCUUCUCUGACCCAGCUGGAGGAAGAAGCUCUGAUGGGCAUCUCCUGUCCGUGCACAUCAAGUUAUUUCUAGUUGAUUUGUUAUUGUGGUUGUUGUGGUUGUUAUUUCUACUAAGAACAUUGAGCUAUGAAUAAACUGUGCAUUUUUCUUGAUGAAUGUGGAAAAGAGAUUCUCUAGGGUGUACAUAAUAAUAAUUAUAAUAAUAAACAACUGGAAAAAUAAGGGCAUUGAGUGCUCAGGAUGAAUGCCAUGGAGCUGGAACCUGGUCCUGGAGGUGUUCUGAGA